AGAGUUUGAUUAUGGCUCAGGGUGAACGCUGGCGGCGUGCUUGACACAUGCAAGUCGAACGGUAUGUGGCAACACAUAGAGUGGCGAACGGGUGAGUAACACGUGGGAACGUACCCUACGCAGGGGGAUAACUGACCGAAAGGACAGCUAAUACCGCAUAAGACCGAAAGGUGAAAGGUGCAACUGCACCGGCGAAGGAGCGGCCCGCGGACCAUCAGCUAGUUGGUGGGGUAAGAGCCUACCAAGGCAACGACGGAUAGCCGGCGUGAGAGCGUGGCCGGCCACAAGGACACUGAGAUACGGGUCCUACUCCUACGGGAGGCAGCAGUGCGGAAUUUUAGAUAAUGGAGGCAACUCUGAUCUAGCGACGCCGCGUGCAGGAAGAAGGUCUUCGGAUUGUAAACUGCUGUGGUAAGGGAAAAAUGCCAUGUAGAGUGGAAAGCUACAUGGAGGGAUGGUACUUUACUAGAAAGCCCCGGCUAACUACGUGCCAGCAGCCGCGGUAAUACGUAGGGGGCGAGCGUUACCCGGAAUCACUGGGCGUAAAGGGAGCGUAGGUGGCCUGACAUGUCAACUGUGAAAACCCGGAGCUCAACUCCGGACUUGCAGUUGAAACUGCCAGGCUUGAGGACGGUAGAGGAAGACGGAACUGCCAGUGUAGGGGUAAAAUCCUUAGAUAUUGGCAGGAACGCCGGUGACGAAGGUGGUUUUCUGGGCCGGUUCUGACACUGAUGCUCGAAAGCCAGGGGAGCGAACGGGAUUAGAUACCCUGGUAGUC
This 778-nucleotide ribosomal RNA is filed under the name Kosmotoga sp. enrichment culture. Its description in RNAcentral is "bacterial SSU rRNA". It matches the Rfam family "Bacterial small subunit ribosomal RNA", at positions 8 to 795 of the family's 1533-position model. Lineage: Bacteria; Thermotogati; Thermotogota; Thermotogae; Kosmotogales; Kosmotogaceae. The record is from RNAcentral.